Molecule: long non-coding RNA, 6109 nt
Organism: Ctenopharyngodon idella (grass carp)
Lineage: Eukaryota; Metazoa; Chordata; Actinopteri; Cypriniformes; Xenocyprididae
Exons: 5
Source: RefSeq, a predicted model, not a curated record
AAAAUCAUCAUUUGUGUUCUACUGAAGAAACAAAGUCACCUACAUCUUGGAUGCCCUGGGGGUAAGCAGAUAAACAUCACAUUUCCAUUUUUGGGGAACUAUCCCUUUAAAAUAUUUUCUCUUCAUUUGUAUUCUCAAAUGAAAGAAAACAAAACAUUACUUCUAAUACUACUACUACAAAAAUGUAAACAAUUUGAACUACUACACUGAUGUGAAGCUGUAUGAUUUUUAACCUUCCAUUUCUGUUCUCCUGCAGUGCAUGAGAUCUGCAUCAUCUCCAGGUAGAGCACACCCAAAGCCUCACUGCACCAAAGGGAAAACAUCUAGGAGGAUCUUGCCACGUCUGUCAAUUAGGUAUCUCUGCAGAACAAUAAGGCUGUUUCCCAAUCAGUAGGCAUUUGUCAACCACUUUGCCUGAAUUCCUUAAAUCAUAAAGGCCCACCCCAGUGGAUUAAAGCAAGUUGGGUAAAGUGGUUGAAAACCACCCGUUGUGGAUUUUACCAAUGCACAAAUGAUUGGGGAACACCCGUUAGCAUUCUGCAGAGAUACCUACUUGCACAUCUCAGACACGGGUCCAGGAUGAGAACCUGGUUGGCUUGGACUUGUCACCCUCACAUCCUGAAUCUUUCUGGAUCACCUCACAUUGUCACAGGUAAUAUCAAAGUAGCCGGUACUAACACUAACAUGCACUCCGCAGUUGGACAUAAUUAAGAGGUAACAUUUAAAUGUAUUUGUAUAUAAAAACAUCAGAUUAAUGUCUUGAAUGCAAAUUUAUUUUAAAACAGAGAAACAAAAACAUAUAUUAAACAAGCAGACAUAACAAUAAAUUAAAACAUCAAACUGACAGUUGAAAUGAGUUAUAUAAAUUGAACACACUAUUUUACUACUAUUAGACUACUAUUUACUACUGUUACUAGACUAUUUUGAAAUGAGUUUUUUAAAUUGAACACUAUUUUACUAUUAAACUACUAUUUACUACUGUUACUGGACUAUUUUGAAAAUGAAUAAUAUAUAAAUUGAACACACUAUUUUACUAUUGCACUACUAUUUACUACCGUUUAGCUCUCCUCUGAAAAAAACAAAUUAGCUCUCUGAUUCUGCAAACUCCACAUCCAGCACACGGUUGUGUGUAUGCUGGAUUUUUACUUUGGUUGGGAGUUUGGCGAUUAAAUCCACCACCCUCCCAUUGUACAGUUUUUCUGGAAUGCUGAAUUCCUCAAAAUUGCUGCAGAGGAGAGUGAGGUUUCCAUUUUCUUCGGAGACUCCAAUGAUGUCCAUGUACUCCGUCACUACUUUCCUCUCAGCAGUCUGCAUCAUAAAGAAAAUACAAUUUAUAAUCUGGCUUGACAUCUUGUUACAGAGAUUUCACUCAAAUAAAAAUUGUGAUUUACCCACUUUCAUCAAUAUUGCUAUAGCAGAAUUAAGGAAACUUUCGUUGGGAAUGUGUCAACUUGGAAUGUGUAUGCCUUGAAUGUGAUGAAAGUUUAACUUUUGAAAAACGCAUAUCAACAUCUUGCAUUUUCUCACGUUUUUAGAUGCACAGACAUGUUGUUUGAACCGGCCCUAAGUUGUUUCUACUGGCUGGCAAGUCUAUGCAGUCAUCGCACCAGCAGUGCGAACUGUUAAUACCCUUUUUGAAUCGAUUGUGGUGCUGUUAAGUUAAUUUUAAGCUGAAUAAGGCUAAUGUAACAUAGCUAAUGUGUUUUGUAUUAUAUUUGUGUACCUUCACAGCUGUGUGGGAUGAGGAAUUCAAUUUUCCUCUUCCAUUCCCCAAAAGAAAAAUUUUGAGGUGUGUGAGCUCCACCUCAUCUUUGAGGUAGAGCUCACACAGAGCCUCAUCUCUCCAGAGAGAAACUUCCAGCAGCUUUUGGCCACAUCUUAAGGUGAGGUCCAGGAUAGGGACAUGGCUGCCUUGGUUGUAUCUGCAAAAUGACAGCUUGGAAGUUAUACUGUUUCAGAAGGAAGUCAUGUUGGUUUGGAAUGACAUGAGGGUGAGUACAUGACAGAAUUUUCGUCUUAAUUUUCAUACCUUUAGCUACAGAGAGAAAUGCAUCCUGAUAACCAGAACAACUAUAAUAACUGUUGACUUCUAGAUAUUCUGUGAUAAUGAAAUAACUCACUUUUUCGAUUUCCCCUUUAAGACUCAAAUAGUCUCCCCUGGUGAAUAGGUCGUCUUCUUCACCCGUGACCAUCACAGAUGAAUAAAUUGCCUCCCUUGCAACCUUUUCCGCCAUUUCGUCCAGGUUAAGUGGUGCUGUCCGAAAUUUAUUUGAUGUCCGGCCAAAAUAAACAUUUUUGCGGCCAUAGCGUGUGCCUAAUGUUACAUUUUUAAGGAUGUAUGUGCAUCCUUCAACCAAUUCUGGCUCUUCGCCAUUUUUUGAUACUAGGUAUGAAUUUGUGCCAUCACUUACGGCACUCUGACUUUUUAUUUGAUAGUUUUCAACUUUAAUAUCUCCGUUGCUGUUUGUGAAGUUUACAGCCUUUCUGGUAGUCCUAUUGGCCACGCAUUUGCACAGGAUUGGGGCCGGGCGGCUAUAUGGGCUUUGUGUUGCCAUCCUGAGGUGCCGUCUCUGGUUGACUUGGGUCGGAGCUGUGGGUGGAGUCCUGCGCACUGAAGUGGACGUGGCUGUGCGCAGCUUUUUAACAGACUGGCUGCGCGCAUUUCCCGCGCGCUCUCUCUCUCUCUCUCUCUCUCAUUUUUUGUAAUAUUUUUAACUUGUAAUUAAUUUAAUUUAUUGAAAUGAAUGUUUUUAAUUUGUAAUGAAAUGUUUUUUUUUUUUAACUUUUAAUGAAUUGUAUUUAUUAUAACAAAUGGUUUUUAACUUGUAAUGAAUUUUAUUUAUUGUAAUGAGUUUUUUUAACUUGAAAUGAGUUUUAUUUAUUGUAAUGAAUAUUUUUAAACUUGUAAUGAAUUGUAUUUAUUAUAUAUUUUUUAACUUAAGUAUUAUAACGAAUGGUUUUUAACUUGUAAUGACUUAUUUAUUGUAAUAUUUUAACUUGUAAUGAAUUUACAGAUGAACUAUAUGUAGGCGACGAAGUGAUUCUGGGAAAGGGGAAAUUUCACUCCUCUACAUACACAUCUGUGAAGAUCCCUGAGGGCCAGGUUGAGGAUAUAGAGGUGGACAUUAUCGGGGUCUCCGAGAUUAAUGACACCUGCCACUUCCUCAGCAGCGACUCAGUUGUGUACAUUGUUCCUGAGGCAAUCUUCUCUGGAAAUCCAGAUGUGCUCAUUGACAAGCUGCCAAUGAAACUUCAGUUAAAACACAUUAACCGCAGGAUUAUUGAAAUAAGAUCAGAAAAAAGCAUAUAGAUUAGUCAUCCCUUUUUCUUUGUUUUUCCCCCCACUUUCAUAUUUGAUGUUAAUCUCAGCCAUUUGUUUUAUUUGUUGUUUAGUGUGUAUAUAGUUGUAUAGUUGUAUAUAGUUCUUUCCAAACAAUAUGACCUCGUCAAUAUAUAGGUUAGUUAGCUCACCUUUUUUUUUUUUUUUUCUUUUCUCGUUUUUAAUAUUUGAUAUUUAGAUUUAGAUUGUUCUUGUUUAGUUUGUAUAUAGUAUAUUGUAUAUUGGAAAGUAAAUUUUUCAAAGAUUUUAUUUAUUAUUUUGUGAGCAUUAAUAAGUUUAUCACAUUAAAAAUUGUGGGAAAAGAUUGUGGAAGGGUAAAGAGACCCAAUGAGUGAUAUUUCCCAGUUGUAAAAUUGUCUUGUUUUAUUCGUCUUAUAUAUUAUUUUAAACAUUGCCCAUGAAAAAUCUGGGAAUGUUUAUAUCCACUGUAGUCCUCAAUGGUACGGCAUGGGUAUCCACCACUAAGUCCAUGUUUUAUAUGUCCUUCUGAGUGCGUUUAUCACAACCCUGGUACAUACAGACGUGGACAAAAUUGUUGGUACCCUUGAUAAAUACAAACAAAAAACCUGUGAAAAUAAAUCUCCAUUUUUAAUCUUUUAGGACUUUUUAUUUAAAAAAAAAAAAAAAAAGUCAAAUUCUAACCUUUCAUUGAAGUGUAAGAAUUUAAAAUGAAUCUUAUUAUGAAAUAAAUAUUUUUCUCUGAUACACGUUGGCCACAAUUAUUGCUACCCUUUUAUUCAAUACUUUUUGCAACCCCAAGUCCUCCCCAAGAUAACAGCUCUGAGUCGACUUCUAUAAUGCCUGAUGAGUUUGGAGAACACCUGACAAGAGAUCAGAGACCAUUCCUUCUUACAGAAUCUCUUAAUUUUGUCACAAAAUAGAUGUUUAAAAAAAAAAAAAAAAAAGAAAGAAAGAAAUAUUAAAAAUAUACAAAGAUUUAAAAAUAAGAACUACAUUAUCUAAGUUAAUUUCACAAAAGAAAAAAAAAAAAGUUGAUAAAUCAUGAAAAUAUAUACAUUUUAUACUUUCAGGUCAAAUUGGACACAUUCAUAUAGUUUGAGCUUAAUGAUACAGUAUUUUGUUCUGUUUAUAGCAAAAAUUUUAAAAUGUAAAAGAAUAACUAUAAAAACAGAGAGGCUACUAGCGGAUUGUGUUGUUGUUGAUUGAGGUUUCAUGCUUGGUUCUGGGCUUCUUUUUAAAAACAUUUGAAACCAUGAAAGCCUGCUUUGUUUUUGGUCUCAAAACCCACUAGCUUUUGCAUAUCCAAAAGCUAUUUUUAAGUUUUUUUUUUCUCUUUAUGUAGCCUAAUUUGAGUGCUUAAGUCCAUUAAUGAGAGUGGAAUGCUUAAUCUAAAUUUGUAUAUCAAAAUGAACAGUUUAAAUCGUUCGGUUUACUUAAUUCGCUCACCCCAUUAAAAGUACAUAAAAAAAUCAUUUUAUUGAACACUGAAAAACGUGAAAAUGCAUUCAGUAGAAUACAUUUGGAAUAGACAAUAAUUUCUCAUUCUUUUAUUUUAAUCUUCAAUGAAAGUUAAACAAAUAGGCUACUGUACCCAUCUCUGAAUAUUUAAAUAUUAUAUCUAAAUGGUCUACUUAACUAAUGAAAAUCAGAAACGACAGAAAACCAGAAACAUGACAGUUAAAUACAAUAAUAAAAAUAUUUUUUAGCCUACAAUUUAAUCAGGCUAUAACCUAUAUAAUUGUGUUUUCAAUUGAAUGAAGAAAUGCUUUGAAUAUCUCUACAGCUUGUAUAAAUCGAAUGUCAGUUUUGACGAAUAAAUAUCACAUAUUGCACUUGCAAACAAAAUACACUGAUACAGCAUGUUUUAUUACCCGAAGACCAGGGGACAACAUUCCCAGAUAGCAGACCAACCUUGAAUCAACGUUAAUGCAUUAACCAAAUUAUCAUUGAAUCAACGUUGAAUUUUAAAUUGAUUUUUCAUCAGGUUUGCACCCUGAAAUAAUGUUAUUUCAAUGAUGAAAAAUAGAUCAAGAUGGUUGUAAAAUCAAUGUUUUUUCAACCUUAAUUAAAUCACCCAUUUAACAUUGAAUUAACUUGGAAACAAUAUCAAAUCAAUCUUGGUUUAUGUACAUGCAACCCACACCUGAGGUGUAAAUUUUAUGUUGACUCUACAACUAGACCAAUGUGCUCAGAAGACCAGGUUUGUCCAGAGAGAGAUGGUGCAACAAGAGUGAACAAAUUCAGACGUUCAAGGUUUUCGGUAAGAGCAAGUUUUGACUGUACUGAACACAAUAAUUGAUUUCAUUUAAAUGCAGUGACAUAGGAAUAUUCACGUUACACUAAUUUGUACCCUUUCCUCCUCCUUCCCAGGAAUUUGAUAGUUGUUUCACUUAUUACAAUUAAUUUUCAGCUCAGAAUUCAAUUAGGGCAAAUGUACUUUGUUUGUGUAUAAAUUGAGACUAAAUAAACUAAACUUUCACUGCCCUUUCUGUCUGGAUUACUUGUUCUUGAAUUUAACCCUAUUUAGUUUCCACUCUUUACACGUUAACAUCCAAUCAGUUUAACAUGAACAAAUAAAAUUUCAGUUAUUGGACUGAAUAACCAGUAACCACAGGGUUCAUUCACCAUAAAAUGGAAGACCUCAAAAUGAAGAAAAAUAAAAUAUAAAAAAUCAAAAUCAGUCCAUGAAUUCAGUUCAGUUCCUGGAAUGUGGUGUAAUUCACAGUCUGUGCAGUUGAUCCAGGAUUAGGACGAAUACAAAAAAAACCAAAAAAGUUUGUUGUGCAAAUCCCGUCCUACCGUUCGACG